GUAGGUGGCAAGCGUUGUCCGGAAUUAUUGGGCGUAAAGCGCGCGCAGGGCGGUCCUUUAAGUCUGAUGUGAAAGCCCACGGCUCAACCGUGGAGGGUCAUUGGAAACCGGGGGACUUGAGUACAGAAGAGGAAAGCGGAAUUCCAAGUGUAGCGGUGAAAUGCGUAGAGAUUUGGAGGAACACCAGUGGCGAAGGCGGCUUUCUGGUCUGUAACUGACGCUGAGGCGCGAAAGCGUGGGGAGCAAACAGGAUUAGAUACCCUGGUAGUCCACGCCGUAAACGAUGAGUGCUAAGUGUUAGGGGGUUUCCGCCCCUUAGUGCUGCAGCUAACGCAUUAAGCACUCCGCCUGGGGAGUACGGCCGCAAAGGCUG
RNAcentral lists this ribosomal RNA (373 nucleotides) under uncultured organism. Its description in RNAcentral is "partial 16S ribosomal RNA". It matches the Rfam family "Bacterial small subunit ribosomal RNA", at positions 527 to 896 of the family's 1533-position model. The record is from RNAcentral.